GUCCCGUUCCCAUGUUCCCAUCCCGUUCCCAUAUUCCCAUCCCUGGUCCUUGUCUCCAUUUGCGGACCCUGUCCCCAUCGCUGGUCCCAUUCCUGGUCCCUAUCCCCUUCCCGGUGCCAUUCUCGGUCCCUGUCCGCAUUCCUGGUGCCGGUCCCGGUCCCUAUCCCCAUUCCCAGUCUCUGUCCCUAGUCCCUGUCCCUUUCCUCGGUCCCAUUCCCUGUCCCCAUUCCCGCUCCCUGUCCCCUCUCACCAGACGGCGCCGCCAUCGCUCCGGCCCCCCCGGCCCUCACAUAACAGAGCAAACCCCGCCCUGCUCCCGCCCACCAAUCCCAGGACGCGGUCGCUCAUCUAUUUGCAUAGCCACGCCCUUCACCAUGGCCCCGCCCACCGCCGGCUGCAGCCGCCUCUGGGCGCUCUUUGCUCCCAGUUCCCUCCCAGUGCUCCCAGUAACAGCGGGACUGGCAGGGAAAGCACUCCCAAUUCCUUCCCGCUGAUCUCAGAAUCUGUCCUGCUAUUCUCACUAUCGUUCCCGGUGCUCCCAGUAUCCCUCCCAGUGCUGCGUGAGGCGGGGGCUGUUUCGGAACCCCUCCAGGCAGAGCGCGGCUGCUUUUGGGUUUCGCCACUGCCCGGGCCGGGCUGGGAGCGGAGGAGGAACAGAAGGAAGAGGAGGGACAGAGGAGCAGCAAAAGGAAAGGGAAAGUGAGGUGCGGGAGGAACAGGAGGAGCAGGAAGAGGAGAUACGAAAGAGGAAAAGGAGGAGCGAGAAAAGGAGCAGCACCAACACCGCGCGGUUCCCCCGCCCGAGCUCACCCGCUUCCACCGCCAUCGCCCCUCCCGGAACCCGCAGAGCAGGAGCUGAGGAGGAGUCCAGGGAGGACAAAUCCCCGGGGCAGAACCUGGUGGCAGAGGCCGUUUUGAGCAGCUCCACAGCGCAGGAAUCCAAUGGAGAGGAAAAACCCCAGAGAUCCUGCAGGAGGAGGGGCUGCAAACGCAGAUCGCGGGGAUCUGAGGCGGAAAGACCCAGCCUGGGCUAAGGAGGUGGCCAGAGCUCAGAGCUGGGGGUCCACGAGCUCCUUCAGGAUGGGGAGAAGCCCCACAAGUGCUCAGAAUGUGGGAAGAGCUUCUCCAGGAGCUCUCACUUGACCGACAGCAAUGGAGCCAUCACUAAGGGAAGCCCUGAGUGGGAAGGGUGGGAAAAACUUCAUCUGCUCUUCCAGCUCCAUCCCCCGUGGGAGGAUCUAUGCUGGAUGAUCCGCAGUGACCCACACUGGGCAGAGCCCUGGUGAUCUGCGGUGCCAGUGAUUCCUGUUGGGAAGACACCUGCCUGGGGGCUCCACAUCCUCCUUGCUCCUAGGUUUUCUUUUCAUUUCUUUUUGUCCUUUCAAGACACCCAAAAUCACAGUAAAAAUAAAGACGUUGAACUAAGA
This is a long non-coding RNA of Serinus canaria (Common canary), 1427 nucleotides long. RefSeq lists it as uncharacterized. The record is from RefSeq and is a predicted model, not a curated record. Lineage: Eukaryota; Metazoa; Chordata; Aves; Passeriformes; Fringillidae. The transcript is spliced from 2 exons.